CAGCAGCCGCGGGAAUACGUAGGUGGCAAGCGUUGUCCGGAAUUAUUGGGCGUAAAGGGCUCGCAGGCGGUUUCUUAAGUCUGAUGUGAAAGCCCCCGGCUCAACCCUGGACAGGCGGUGGAAACUACCAAGCUGGAGUACGGUAGGGGCAGAGGGAAUUUCCAGUGGAGCGGUGAAAUGCGUUGAGAUCGAAGAGAACACCAACAGCGAAAGCACUCUGCUGGGACGACACUGACACUAAGAGACGAAAGCUAGGGGAGCAAAUGGGAUUAGAGACCCCGGUAGUCCCUGUCUCUUAUAA
Molecule: ribosomal RNA, 301 nt
Filed under: uncultured bacterium
Lineage: Bacteria
Description: partial 16S ribosomal RNA
Rfam family: Bacterial small subunit ribosomal RNA
Source: RNAcentral